RNAcentral lists this transfer RNA (91 nucleotides) under Gemmatimonadaceae bacterium. RNAcentral's name for it is "tRNA-Arg". Lineage: Bacteria; Pseudomonadati; Gemmatimonadota; Gemmatimonadia; Gemmatimonadales; Gemmatimonadaceae. The record is from RNAcentral.
GUAUUCGACGAUCAAUUCAGAACGUCGCUUCGCUCCGCAGGACACGACCCUGCGAGGGUCGCUGGCGGAGGUUCGAAUCCUCCCGAAUACA